CCAGACUCCUACGGGAGGCAGCAGUGGGGAAUAUUGCACAAUGGGGGAAACCCUGAUGCAGCGACGCCGCGUGAGCGAUGAAGUAUUUCGGUAUGUAAAGCUCUAUCAGCAGGGAAGAAAAUGACGGUACCUGACUAAGAAGCCCCGGCUAACUACGUGCCAGCAGCCGCGGUAAUACGUAGGGGGCAAGCGUUAUCCGGAUUUACUGGGUGUAAAGGGAGCGUAGACGGCGGUGCAAGCCAGAUGUGAAAGCCCGGGGCUCAACCCCGGGACUGCAUUUGGAACUGUGCUGCUAGAGUGUCGGAGAGGCAGGCGGAAUUCCUGGUGUAGCGGUGAAAUGCGUAGAUAUCAGGAGGAACACCGGUGGCGAAGGCGGCCUGCUGGACUGCGACUGACGUUGAGGCCCGAAAGCGUGGGGAGCAAACAGGAUUAGAUACCCCCGUA
RNAcentral lists this ribosomal RNA (444 nucleotides) under uncultured bacterium. RNAcentral describes it as "partial 16S ribosomal RNA". It matches the Rfam family "Bacterial small subunit ribosomal RNA", at positions 331 to 792 of the family's 1533-position model. The record is from RNAcentral.